AUGGACGAUAGUCUGACGGAGCAACGCCGCGUGAGUGAAGAAGGUUUUCGGAUCGUAAAACUCUGUUUUCAGGGACGAAUGUGCGAUAUGUGAAUAAUGUGUUGUAAUGACGGUACCUGACAAGAAAGCCACGGCUAACUACGUGCCAGCAGCCGCGGUAAUACGUAGGUGGCAAGCGUUGUCCGGAAUUAUUGGGCGUAAAGCGCGCGCAGGUGGGAUAAUAAGUCUGAUGUUAAAGUUCGGGGCUCAACCCCGUGAAGCAUUUGGAUACUGUUAUUCUUGAGUGCAGGAGAGGAAAGUGGAAUUCCUAGUGUAGCGGUGAAAUGCGUAGAUAUUGGGAGGAACACCAGUGGCGAAGGCGACUUUCUGGACUGUAACUGACGCUGAGGCACGAAAGCGUGGGGAGCAAACAGGAUUAGAUACCCUGGUAGUCCACGCUGUAAACUAUGAGUACUAGGUGUGGGGGGCGAAGCCCUCUGUGCCGCAGUUAACACAAUAAGUACUCCGCCUGGGGAAGU
This 518-nucleotide ribosomal RNA is filed under the name uncultured bacterium. RNAcentral's name for it is "bacterial SSU rRNA". It matches the Rfam family "Bacterial small subunit ribosomal RNA", at positions 371 to 882 of the family's 1533-position model. The record is from RNAcentral.